Sebastes umbrosus (honeycomb rockfish) is the source of this 1911-nucleotide long non-coding RNA. RefSeq lists it as uncharacterized. The record is from RefSeq and is a predicted model, not a curated record. The transcript has 5 exons. Lineage: Eukaryota; Metazoa; Chordata; Actinopteri; Perciformes; Sebastidae.
UAAUUAUAUUUAUUACAAAAUGUUGAUUUGAACAUAAAGGAAGUUAUUCUUAAAAACAUUGAUAUUCUGAUUUGGUAAAAUGUGUGAGAGACUAGUAGAGGAAGCAACUGAGUUAGUGUUAAACCCUGUAAUCCUCAUCUCUUUGAUCCACCAGUUUACCCUGAUGGAGUCACAGGUCAUGAAAAGUUUAGUAAUGGCUGUAUGAAAGGAAAUAACUGUAUUGUGUUUUCUCUAGAUUCUGCAGGGCCUGGACUACCUUCACACUUGGUCAGUGUAAAAUCAUCCAAGCCUAAGAACAUCCUGCUGCGUCUGGAGGAGCAGUCCCACAAAGUACCUGCAGGGGAGAGCAGCACCUCCUCUGCACUGAAGAUUACAUUUUUUCAAGAGCUUAGGUUUUGGAUGCUCAAAUGGGUCAUCAGGCCAAACUUAGAAUCGUACUCAAGGACCAUGACAUACGGAAACUGGAUUUACCUCAUGGAAUCCCUGGGACAGUGGUUGAACUUGAGUCUAUUGUGAGAGAGACAUCUGGGCUUGAUGGGAACUUUAUUUUGCAUUAUAAGGAUGCUGAUUUUGGAGAGGAAUAUUUUUCUCUCACCUCAACAAAUGACAUCAAGGACAAGGACACAAUCAAAGUGGUACACAUUGUUGAACCUCCCACAGUCAAUCUGACGUUUACUGAUGUGGACAGCUCCUUCGAAAGUGCAUCAGACGUCUCCGUCCAUGCAGCUUCCUCCGUCCAUGCUUCAGAGACCUCCGUCCAUCCUUCUAACAGCAGUUGCUCAUCUGGAUCGCAGGAUACCUUGAUUCUUUCAUCACCUGAACACGUGACUCAGUGUUGGCCUAUUGAAUUUCCAGUACCUUGCUUUGCCUACGGCACAGAGCUUGUUCUUGCCUCUGGAAAUGAGGCUUUCAAGAAGGAUGGAGUUCAACUUAACUUUACCACAAUCCUUCCAGACAUCCUUGAGAAAUUGGCUGGAAGCAUCUUUCAAUAUGUUGCCUACCCGACAAGUGCGCAGUUUGCUAAUGUUACUGAGGCGCUGAUUCAGAAGCAUCCUUGCCUUAAAGAACCAGGAUCAUAUAAUGGAUGCUACGGAUGGCAACAAAGACUUAAAUAUAAAAUGGGCAACUAUAGAUCUAAACUUAGAGGGCUCGGGUGCCCUGAGAUUGAUGUGAACUCUCUCUAAAAAAAAAGAGCACAUGAGAAGGCAUCCGCAAAGAAUAUAAAAAAGCCAAGAAAGGCAGAGGUAAACUAUUUACCCCCUCGCCCACAAGGAGAAACAGAAGGAAGCUUGGAACAUCAAAGAGUGGAGCUCCUUAAUGAAGUUAAGAAGAGGAACAACUGUCAGACCAUCAGCGGAAAAAUGGCAAAGACAUUCUCCAGUCGCAGACAGGAAGUUGUCAAUCUUGCAUCACCAGUCAGUGACUUCAAAGAUCGAUGGCCUGCUCUUUUUGAUGCAGCACAGAUAAACAAAGAAUUCAGAAGGAUCACCACUGCUAACCUGGAAACAACGUUCAUGGCAAAACUGGACCAGUACUCCCCCAAAAUAAUGACCUUGGCCUCGUCAACAGGGGGGGCUGCAAAAAUGAAGAUCCAGCGGAUAAGGAACAUGCUGCUAGAGGAUGAUUCGGUGGAAAAGAGGAGAGAGGUCGCUAUCCGUUGUCUGGUGAUGUGUCUCUGAGAAAAGGAGGAGGAGCUCUUCAAAGAACACUUGGAUGGUGAAGUGCAGGAUACUGAUGAAGUGAUGAAGGUUGUCGUCACCAGGGGUGCCAUAAUGACUGAUCCAGCCAGUGCAAGGAUAGUGAUCGAGGGAACAGAAGUCCUGGAAAACCUGGAUGUGCCAAGAGCCUGUGCCUUGUUGAUGGGGCUGAUAUACGCGCUCAACCUCAGCUACCCAAAACAACUGAUGAAAA